AUACGUAGGGGGCGAGCGUUGUCCGGAAUGAUUGGGCGUAAAGGGCGCGUAGGCGGCCCGGUAAGUCUGGAGUGAAAGUCCUGUUUUUAAGAUGGGAAUUGCUUUGGAUACUGUCGGGCUUGAGUGCAGGCGAGGUAAGUGGAAUUCCCAGUGUAGCGGUGAAAUGCGUAGAGAUUGGGAGGAACACCAGUGGCGAAGGCGACUUACUGGACUGUAACUGACGCUGAGGCGCGAAAGUGUGGGGAGCAAACAGGAUUAGAUACCCUGGUAGUCCACGCGGUAAACGAUGAAUGCUAGGUGUUGCGGGUAUCGACCCCUGCAGUGCCGGAGUCAACACAAUAAGCAUUCCGCCUGGGGAGUACGGCCGCAAGGUUGAAACUCAAAUGAAUCGGCGGGG
RNAcentral lists this ribosomal RNA (397 nucleotides) under uncultured bacterium. RNAcentral describes it as "partial 16S ribosomal RNA". It matches the Rfam family "Bacterial small subunit ribosomal RNA", at positions 523 to 918 of the family's 1533-position model. The record is from RNAcentral.